AAAUUCAGGCGAGAGAGCCCAUACAAAAUUGAAGGAAGGUUGUAGGAAGCAGAGGGAUGAUAAUCUUCUUUUACUUGGUCCCAAAGCUAAGUAAAACCACAAAUUCUCAAUCUUUCUCUAUAAAUAAAUUAAAAUUAAUUACUUCUUCUAUUAGCUCUCAGCAGUGAAAAAAAUAAUAAAAACAGUCAUAAAUGGCUUUGCUUUCAGGGUUAUUGAGCUGUUUUACUAUUUCUUCUUCUUCAUCUUCUAGAGUUUCUGAUAAUUCUAAUAAUGUCAACAACCUAAAAUCAUCAGAUAAAGUUGCAAAGAGCAAAAACAAGUCAAGUACUGGGGGUGCUCCAACUCUUGUUUCUUAUUUUCCUACCAACUCACAUCUUUAUCGCUUAUGACAGAUUUUAAGUAAUUUAUUUAGUUUAUAUUUCUAGCUCUUAGAAGUUGGAAGAUGAGGCUAAAAUUAAAUGAAUAUUGAACUUCAUCAGAAGGCGAUUUAGUUGAAUGACGAUUUUCUUUUUUUUUUUUGUAAUUGAAUUGGAUUUAUACUUGUCUGAUAUUUUAGCACUGUGGAAAAUACUAAUUUUGUAGAUCUACAAAUAUUCUUGUAUUAUUCAUACAUUAUGUGAUCCGAUAUAUUGCCGUGAUUUAUUUUUGGCGUGAUACACAUUGAGACAUUUAAAGUUGGCAUGAUCUUUCACUUAAAUACUUAAACUAAGACUCUUUUCACUUAGACACAUUUCUUAAACAAUUCUCAUAUCAAUUAGAUACGUUUUUUGCUGGUGGUAUAUAGCGUGACUUUAAACCUGUUUAGCCGCGUGAAGGCUAAAAAUUAAAUAUUUUUCCUUUCCCAAUUAGACGAAUAACGGUAAUAUCCAUUGCCAAUUAUUAUUUAAACCUUAAUCCCUUUCCCAAUUUUAAAAACCCUAUUUGUUCGCUUCUCUUCUUCUCACAUUUCUCCAGCAAUUCUCCGCCAAUUCUUUUCUUUUCUUCUCUUCUCUCUCUCGUUUCUGUUCUCUUCUUGGUAUCAAUUAAUUUCUUCUCUUCUCUUUUUCCUCUCAUUUCUGUUGUUGCCGUGUUUAUGAAUGUCGAACUUAUCGGACUCGACAAACUCUUCAAUGUCACCUUGCGCUGCCGCUCGAAUCUGUAAGUGUGGUAUUUCUCCAAAGUUAAAUACUUCUUGGACCCAAUUAAACCCAUGUCGUAAAUUUUUUGCUUGAAAAAUCUGAAAGGUAAAUUGUUUGUUCAUAAUUUAUAGUUCUGUUUUAUAAAUUAUUUUCUUUGAUAAAAAUUGAUUAAAAAUGUCUUGUGAUAUAAAGGAUUGAUGUAAUUAUUUCUGUUGGUAUGACUAUGAGAUGCCUACUCAAGCAAAGAAUAUAAUUUGGGGUUUAUUAAAGAGAGUCAAAGCUUUGAAGAGGAGAAAGUUCGAGCAAAAAAAAGAUGGAUUGUUUCGACGAUUGUUGUUAUAUUGUUGGUCAUUUUACGAAAACUGUACGACUAAUGUACUUUGGUUGUUGCAUGUGUUGUUGAUUAAUAUGUAAUAUUGGUGAUGUUGCUUUAAACUUUUUUUUAGAAACUGUUGUUGUAAUAUUUAGCUGAGUUUUGUUAUAAAAUUAUGGAUUUUGUUAUAAACUUCUAAAUUUUGAAACUGCUGUUGUAAUAUACACCUGCUGUAUUUUGAAAGUGAUGUAAUAUACAACUUUUGUACAAUACAUAAAACCAUAAGAUGCAGUUUCAAAAUUCGGAAGAUAUAGACUAAUUAUUCAAAACACAGAGUAACAAUUUUGCCAAAACAAAUAAAAUAAGGCUGAAGUUGCUGCUAUAUAACAUAUAUCCAAAAUAGAACAACAACAUUACACGACUGAGUACAACAAUUAAAGUUUAGUUCUUUCAAAAACUAGAUCCCAAAAUAUAAUAGGUUGUUGCUACAUAAUAUAUAGACAAAAUAAGUUCCUAAGAUACUAUUUGUUACUGAAGUUUGCCUUCAUCUGUUGCAACUAGGAAGUUGUGACAACAUCUUGACCCUUUCACCUCAAGUCUCUAGCCAUAAAACCAAGGUCAAUUCCUGUUGGAGUUCCACUCUUAUAAGUUGAACCACUUGCAAUAACUCAUUGGCUUGAUGCUCCGGGCUGCAGUUUGCCAAAUAAUGAACCACAAUCAGUAAGUUAUUUCUAAGUCAUAUCAUAGAUGAAAUAUGUAUGAAUAUAUAUAUAUAUUUAGUAUUUGAGUUCCACUUCCGGCUGUGUAGAUGCCUAAUCCAACAUUUUUGGACCUUUUUUGUGCUCCUUUUUUCAGCAUUUUCUUUACUUGCACCCCUUCCUCUCUUUUGGCUGGUAGUUGCUUUACCCUUUGGAUGAAGUUGACUACCUAAUCCUUUUCUAGCAGGCCUGCUCGAAUCUGCUAAACUUGGGGUUGGUUGGCUUGAGCUUCUAGCUUCAUUAACCCUUCUAAUCUUUGUUGUAUUAAAACACACAGAGUUUGAAGGUUGGCUUGAGCUUCCAACUGCAUCAGGUUGGCUAGCACCUUGUGAGCUUUGGCUACCUUGCUGUGAAAACAUCCAAUUUUCAGCCUACAUAACAUAGAGCAACAGAUUACAUAACAGUGAUGGAAACAAAUUACUAGAUUCAUAUGAACAACAUGAAUUUGUGAUGGCAACAUGAAAUAUUUAACAAGAAACAUUUACUUUACAGUAUUUUUUGUUAUGUCCUUGUUGAUGGCACUUGGAACAUGUCAUUUUCACUCCACACUUGGACAAAUUUUCAUAUUUCUUUUUUUGUUCAUCUUUGCCGUUUCUUCUGUUCCUCUGAGGUCUACCAAAAAUGGGUUUAGGUUUGGGAGGCUCUAUCUUAGUAUUGUUUGUUUCAUGCCACAUCUUCAUAUUUUUCAUAGGCCGGAUGAAAUACUUGUAUGCUUUUAAGAAGGUAUCCCUCUUAUACCAAUGUUCCACUGCCUGUUUAGGUUCUUCGUUUAUGUGAUAGUAUGCAAGAACAACAUAUUUACAUGGAAUAUCCCUCAACAACCAAGCUCUACAACUGCAAACUUUAUCAGUCAGAUUAAUUACAUACUUAUGCAGUCCUUCUUCAGUCUCAAAUCCAACAUCAGCAUUCCAAAGGACAAUACAUUUUCUAGUAAGCUCUUUGCUAUCCUCUAACAAUAGCCUUGCUAUAGGUGAUAUAUCAAAUAUCCAAGUAUCAGUAAAUUUUAACAUAUUCACUUGCCUAGUCAUAAUUUUUCUUCUAAUCUCCUCCAACAUAGUUAUAAUUGA
RNAcentral lists this long non-coding RNA (3256 nucleotides) under Nicotiana benthamiana. Its description in RNAcentral is "long non-coding RNA (NBEN_LNC034649)". The record is from RNAcentral. Lineage: Eukaryota; Viridiplantae; Streptophyta; Magnoliopsida; Solanales; Solanaceae.